RNAcentral lists this long non-coding RNA (528 nucleotides) under Dermacentor andersoni. RNAcentral's name for it is "uncharacterized LOC126534952". Lineage: Eukaryota; Metazoa; Arthropoda; Arachnida; Ixodida; Ixodidae. The record is from RNAcentral.
UGUAUGAUUGCGCGUUUGCGCUGUUGAUGCUUGGCGCAUUCCGGCGAAUUCGUGCACGCCGUUUGCUUGAGAGCUUCCUGCGUUUUGUGUUCUUUGUGUGCUUCGCUGUGACAUCUUUGGAAUAUUCCUGCGUGUUGCUCGCUUUUUAUGGACUUGUUGCCUCGAAGAUCGCCAUGAUCGCCUCCGACUCAGCGACAUCAAGGAUUCAAAAUGAGCUGGGAGAGGCCCCAGCUGGAACGGUUCACAUAGGUUGAAGGAGUGCACAUUGAGAAGGUUAUCCUGGCACAGUUUACCAUGGCCUGCCAUGGUGGACCAGGAAAGUUUGCAAGGGCCUUGCUUCACCAUGUGUUCACAGAGGAGGAGCUCAUGGGCCAUUUGGGCUUUGGAAAUAACACCAAGGGGCAAAAAAGGCUCUUGACCCCACCAGGGUCAGUGCUGUUAUAGGCAAGUACCAUAUAUCCUUUCUGGUUGCAUUUUUACAUUCACAUUUUUUUCUAAAAUUAUGAACUUGCCAUUGGCAUAACAAAC